UCCCCCUGUUGGGUGACACAUUCAGCCCUAUAGGUGAAAAUGGGAUAUGCAGAGGCGGUAGACAUCCAGUUUUCUUGGGAUGACUUUGCAGAUCUUUGCUCAGAGCCACUGGAUCAGCAGUAGCAGUAAUAGUAUCAUCUAACUCCUGAUUGUACACCACUAAGUAUCCGACAAUCCACUGACUGAAAUGGAAACUCUGGAGGCAGCAAAGGGAAGGAAGAGGAUCUCUGCGGAGAUGAUGGUGCUUUCGCUGGCACAGCCGGAGGAGAAGCAGGUGACUCACCACUGGUCAUCUGCUACUCAACUCACUCACUGCAGAGGAGCGGACGCCCCACACCCCGGCAAGUAGUUGCUCCAAGCAUGGAGCCAUGGUGCCCAGGUGGAGAGUGAGCUCAGUG
This is a long non-coding RNA of Camelus dromedarius (Arabian camel), 398 nucleotides long. RefSeq lists it as uncharacterized. Lineage: Eukaryota; Metazoa; Chordata; Mammalia; Artiodactyla; Camelidae. The record is from RefSeq and is a predicted model, not a curated record. The transcript is spliced from 3 exons.